This 424-nucleotide ribosomal RNA is filed under the name uncultured bacterium. RNAcentral's name for it is "bacterial SSU rRNA". It matches the Rfam family "Bacterial small subunit ribosomal RNA", at positions 355 to 776 of the family's 1533-position model. RNAcentral also lists the same sequence under 1 other name. The record is from RNAcentral.
UGAGGAAUAUUGGUCAAUGGGCGUAAGCCUGAACCAGCCAAGUCGCGUGAGGGAUGAAGGUUCUAUGGAUCGUAAACCUCUUUUAUAAGGGAAUAAAGUGCGGGACGUGUCCCGUUUUGUAUGUACCUUAUGAAUAAGGAUCGGCUAACUCCGUGCCAGCAGCCGCGGUAAUACGGAGGAUCCGAGCGUUAUCCGGAUUUAUUGGGUUUAAAGGGUGCGUAGGCGGCCUUUUAAGUCAGCGGUGAAAGUCUGUGGCUCAACCAUAGAAUUGCCGUUGAAACUGGGGGGCUUGAGUAUGUUUGAGGCAGGCGGAAUGCGUGGUGUAGCGGUGAAAUGCUUAGAUAUCACGCAGAACCCCGAUUGCGAAGGCAGCCUGCCAAGCCAUGACUGACGCUGAUGCACGAAAGCGUGGGGAUCAAACAGG